UCGAAUCUUUGAACGCACCUUGCACCUUUUGGUUAUUCCGAAAGGUACGCCUGUUUGAAUG
Molecule: ribosomal RNA, 61 nt
Filed under: Melampsora epitea
Lineage: Eukaryota; Fungi; Basidiomycota; Pucciniomycetes; Pucciniales; Melampsoraceae
Description: partial 5.8S ribosomal RNA
Source: RNAcentral